RNAcentral lists this ribosomal RNA (500 nucleotides) under uncultured Glomeromycotina. Its description in RNAcentral is "partial small subunit ribosomal RNA". It matches the Rfam family "Eukaryotic small subunit ribosomal RNA", at positions 591 to 1092 of the family's 1831-position model. The record is from RNAcentral. Lineage: Eukaryota; Fungi; Glomeromycota.
CAAAUAGCGUAUAUUAAAGUUGUUGCAGUUAAAAAGCUCGUAGUUGAAUUUCGGGGUUAGUAGGUUGGUCAUGCCUCUGGUAUGUACUGGUCUCACUGAUUCCUCCUUCCUGAUGAACCGUAAUGCCAUUAAUUUGGUGUUGCGGGGAAUUUGGACUGUUACUUUGAAAAAAUUAGAGUGUUUAAAGCAAGCUAACGCUUGAAUACAUUAGCAUGGAAUAAUGAAAUAGGACGUUCGAUCCUAUUUUGUUGGUUUCUAGGAUUGACGUAAUGAUUAAUAGGGAUAGUUGGGGGCAUUAGUAUUCAAUUGUCAGAGGUGAAAUUCUUGGAUUUAUUGAAGACUAACUACUGCGAAAGCAUUUGCCAAGGAUGUUUUCAUUAAUCAAGAACGAAAGUUAGGGGAUCGAAGACGAUCAGAUACCGUCGUAGUCUUAACCAUAAACUAUGCCGACUAGGGAUCGGAUGAUGUUAAUUUUUUAAUGACUCAUUUGGCGCCUUACG